UUCGCAAUGCCCGAAAGGGUGACGAAGCGACGCCGCGUGUGGGAAGAAGGCCUUCGGGUUGUAAACCACUGUUGGGAGUUAGGAAGUGUGGGGGUGUUAAUAGCGCCUUCACCUGACUAAAGCUCCAGAGGAAGCCACGGCUAACUCUGUGCCAGCAGCCGCGGUAAUACAGGGGCGGCAAGCGUUGUUCGGAAUUAUUGGGCGUAAAGAGCACGUAGGCGGCUAUGUAAGUCGGUUGUGAAAGCCUUCCGCUCAACGGGAGAACAGCAUCCGAUACUGCAUAGCUUGAGUGCGGGAGGGGAGAGUGGAACUUCUGGUGGAGCGGUGAAAUGCGUAGAUAUCAGAAGGAACGCCGGCGGCGAAAGCGACUCUCUGGCCCGUAACUGACGCUGAGUGUGCGAAAGCUAGGGGAGCAAACGGGAUUAGAUACCCCGGUAGUCCUAGCCGUAAACGAUGGGCACUAAGUAGAGGGGUUUU
RNAcentral lists this ribosomal RNA (477 nucleotides) under uncultured anaerobic ammonium-oxidizing bacterium. RNAcentral's name for it is "bacterial SSU rRNA". It matches the Rfam family "Bacterial small subunit ribosomal RNA", at positions 365 to 832 of the family's 1533-position model. The record is from RNAcentral.